This 506-nucleotide ribosomal RNA is filed under the name uncultured bacterium. RNAcentral describes it as "partial 16S ribosomal RNA". It matches the Rfam family "Bacterial small subunit ribosomal RNA", at positions 28 to 523 of the family's 1533-position model. The record is from RNAcentral.
GAUGAACGCUAGCUACAGGCUUAACACAUGCAAGUCGAGGGGUAACGAGAGGAAAGCUUGCUUUCCUUGUCGACGACCGGCGCACGGGCGAGUAACGCGUAUCCAACCUGCCCCCAACUAAGGAAUAACCUUGCGAAAGUAAGACUAAUACCUUAUAAUUUCCUCAGAUGUCAUCUGACGAGGAAUAAAGAUUUAUCGGUUGUGGAUGGGGAUGCGUCUGAUUAGCUUGUUGGCGGGGUAACGGCCCACCAAGGCAACGAUCAGUAGGGGUUCUGAGAGGAAGGUACCCCACAUUGGAACGGAGACACGGUCCAAACUCCUACGGGAGGCAGCAGUGAGGAAUAUUGGUAAAUGGGCGAAAGCCUGAACCAGCCAAGUAGCGUGCAGGAUGACGGCCCUAUGGGUUGUAAACUGCUUUUAUACAGGAAUAAAGUUAGCCACGUGUGGUUAUUUGUAGGUACUGUAUGAAUAAGGACCGGCUAAUUCCGUGCCAGCCGCCGCCGUAA